GCCUGCUUAGCUCAAUCGGUAGAGCAUCAGUUUUGUAAACUGAGGGUCAUCGGUUCAAGUCCGAUAGUAGGCU
Molecule: transfer RNA, 73 nt
Filed under: Chlorosarcina stigmatica
Lineage: Eukaryota; Viridiplantae; Chlorophyta; Chlorophyceae; Chlorosarcinales; Chlorosarcinaceae
Description: tRNA-Thr
Rfam family: tRNA
About the family: Transfer RNA (tRNA) molecules are approximately 80 nucleotides in length. Their secondary structure includes four short double-helical elements and three loops (D, anti-codon, and T loops). Further hydrogen bonds mediate the characteristic L-shaped molecular structure. tRNAs have two regions of fundamental functional importance: the anti-codon, which is responsible for specific mRNA codon recognition, and the 3' end, to which the tRNAs corresponding amino acid is attached (by aminoacyl-tRNA synthetases). tRNAs cope with the degeneracy of the genetic code in two manners: having more than one tRNA (with a specific anti-codon) for a particular amino acid; and 'wobble' base-pairing, i.e. permitting non-standard base-pairing at the 3rd anti-codon position.
Source: RNAcentral